GAUGAACGCUGGCGGCGUGCCUAAUACAUGCAAGUCGAGCGAACAGACGAGGAGCUUGCUCCUCUGACGUUAGCGGCGGACGGGUGAGUAACACGUGGAUAACCUACCUAUAAGACUGGGAUAACUUCGGGAAACCGGAGCUAAUACCGGAUAAUAUAUUGAACCGCAUGGUUCAAUAGUGAAAGACGGUUUUGCUGUCACUUAUAGACGGAUCCGCGCCGCAUUAGCUAGUUGGUAAGGUAACGGCUUACCAAGGCAACGAUGCGUAGCCGACCUGAGAGGGUGAUCGGCCACACUGGAACUGAGACACGGUCCAGACUCCUACGGGAGGCAGCAGUAGGGAAUCUUCCGCAAUGGGCGAAAGCCUGACGGAGCAACGCCGCGUGAGUGAUGAAGGUCUUCGGAUCGUAAAACUCUGUUAUUAGGGAAGAACAAAUGUGUAAGUAACUAUGCACGUCUUGACGGUACCUAAACAGAAAGCCACGGCUAACUACGUG
Molecule: ribosomal RNA, 497 nt
Filed under: uncultured bacterium
Lineage: Bacteria
Description: partial 16S ribosomal RNA
Rfam family: Bacterial small subunit ribosomal RNA
Source: RNAcentral